AAGAUGUCCCAGGUAGAAUGCCCAGUAUCAGUAAUACUUUUUUUUUGCUUGGUGUCUAUCUUUGCAGGUGAAAGAAGAGACCUGACCAGAAGAGUCCAGCUUUCUCAGUUUUGCCAAAGAUAUCUCAGAUUAAAGCAUUGACGUUGCACAUGUCUCUUGAGCAUGAAAGUACUGAUGAUGUUAUCAGAGUGCUAUCUGCACAUCCUCCUCUUCUGUAACAAGCUACUGAAAGGCAGUUGGUGCUGUCAGACAUGCUCGCCAGCCACUAAUGCAAACUUGUUGCUCUACAGCAUACCUGAUUUUUGUUCUAUCUGCUUUGUCUCAAACCAUGACCCCUCCAGCCAGCAGUGCAGAAAGCAACUGUUGUACCAACUGUGAGAGUUAAGCAAGGAAGUAAUUGCUUUUGGCUGCAUUUUAGCUCCUUAUAUUCUUUGUUCUG
This 439-nucleotide long non-coding RNA is filed under the name Phasianus colchicus (ring-necked pheasant). Its description in RNAcentral is "lncRNA (ENSPCLG00000017985.1)". Lineage: Eukaryota; Metazoa; Chordata; Aves; Galliformes; Phasianidae. The record is from RNAcentral.